UCAGAUAAGAGUUGUUGUGCUUCAGACUGCUUGUGAUACAGGAUAUAAUGUAGUAUUGUGGGGAGAAAACAGACACACGGAGAUAGUAAAUUUAUUCAGGCAUUUUUCUCAAAGGCUGAGUGCCUUGAAACCUGCUGUGCUCAUAUUCAGACACGGGGUCUUUAUCACCAAUUCAUCUUAGACAUUGUGGAUUGGACUUUUUUUUGCCUGUUAGAAUUUAAGAAAUGGUCAUUAGACGGUGGAAUCACAAAACCAUAUGCUUUUGCUAAAAUGACAACACAUAUGACCAUUAGGAGCUGUGGAAUGCGAUGCUCAGUAUUUACCGUGUGCCGUGCAAUUAAGCUUUUUUCAUCAAGUAUGGAACAGAUGACAAGUCCUAUAAGACCAACUUAUGCUUGAUGUCAAGAAAACCUUGCUAACUCUUAGAGCUGUCCAGAAAUGGAAUGGGCUGUCUCAAGACGUGAUGAAUUCUUCCUUAUUUGAGGUCUUCAAUCAGAAGCUGAUUGCUCACUUGUCAGGUAUGUUAUAGUGAGGAUUCCUUUCUUGUGUAGGUUGGAG
This 558-nucleotide long non-coding RNA is filed under the name Monodelphis domestica (gray short-tailed opossum). RNAcentral's name for it is "lncRNA (ENSMODG00000030372.2)". The record is from RNAcentral. Lineage: Eukaryota; Metazoa; Chordata; Mammalia; Didelphimorphia; Didelphidae.